AACGUAGGAGACGAACGUUAUCCGGAGUUACUGGGCGUAAAGGGCGCGUAGGCGGCCACCGCAAGUCGAUUGUGAAAUCUCCGGGCUUAACCCGGAAAGGUCAACCGAUACUGCGGGGCUAGAGUGCAGAAGGGGCAACUGGAAUUCUCGGUGUAGCGGUGAAAUGCGUAGAUAUCGAGAGGAACACCUGCGGCGAAGGCGGGUUGCUGGGCUGACACUGACGCUGAAGUGCGAAAGCUAGGGGAGCGAACAGG
This 254-nucleotide ribosomal RNA is filed under the name uncultured bacterium. Its description in RNAcentral is "partial 16S ribosomal RNA". It matches the Rfam family "Bacterial small subunit ribosomal RNA", at positions 524 to 776 of the family's 1533-position model. The record is from RNAcentral.